Molecule: long non-coding RNA, 2707 nt
Organism: Scleropages formosus (Asian bonytongue)
Lineage: Eukaryota; Metazoa; Chordata; Actinopteri; Osteoglossiformes; Osteoglossidae
Source: Ensembl
AUGACAGACUCUGGACAUGACUGUUCGCUUAAGGAGCUCCUUCUCCUCCUCAGCCAUGCACUGCUGUGCGCUCAAGGCCGUGCGUCAGAGCACUCGUCGACGCUCCCACCCCAUCUUCCAGCGGCCCUGCCGGAACCCGUGCUCAUCCAGGAGGCAUCUCGAGGACGUGUCGUGGAGCUGCUGUGUCGCACUCCUUCGGGUUACGCAGGGAUCCUCUUCAAGCUCUACAGAGAGCGGGAUUUGGUGAACAGCACCGAGUUCGGCCAGGACGCCCGAGAAGCCCGCUUUAGCGUGGUGAGGGAGCGCGGAGCACGGUGGAAACCCUACUGCUGCCUGUAUCAGAACAGCGACGGUGUGUACAGUGCCUUCAGUUCGUACCUGGAGCCGAGGGAUUCAACAGUGCCGUUGCCUGCGCCCACCCUCUCCUUUGCACGUCAGGACCCCGCGGACAGAGUCUUGCUGUGCGAGGGGUCGCCUUCCUAUCCUGGGGCUGAGUUCUUGCUCCUCCAGUUGGGCUCCUCACACCCCUUGGAGAGACAAACUGCUCCCCCGAUGCUCCACAGUGCCAGCUUUUUGGUGCCGGCUGACCACCAAUAUCUGAACGAGUACCAGUGUCAGUACAGUGUGCUCCUGGACCAACGCCGGAGGGAGUCGGAGCGCAGCCCUCCCCUCGCUGUUCCUAUUUUCACAAAAACUGCCAUGAAUACUUCGACAGCUGCUCAACCUCCAGCCGAAGAACACACAGGUGAUAUGAACGCAUCUGUGGGUAAAGUUUCACAAAACAGCACCAAAGCUUUCUUCCAAAGUGGAAGAAGACAGAGCGCUCUCUAAGUCUUGGUUGUCUUUACUGACGAGUCUUUUGCCGCCCAAUUUGUUGACCGCAGUCAAGCUGUAACCUCGUCACUAGUUCUCGUGCUGCCGGUUUUCACUGUGAUCUUUUGGCUGUGAAACUGAUGACCAACUGGGACUCACUCUCACUCUUCAUGGCAAAAGCACCGACAGACUGGCCAAUGAUCAUGGGCUCCAUAUCGGCAGUCGUCCUGGUCAUGGUGGUGCUGACAGCCCUGGGGUUCGUGGUCCGCUGGAAAGGUAGAUGCACGAUGAGCCUCCCGCCAUUGCAACCAUUUCAAUAUCAGCUAACUGGAUUCCUCAUCAGAUCUUCAGCACGUUGACUCUGGUUGAAAUAUUGUACAAGCUCAUUUUCCCAGAAAGCACAGCGUCAUGCUCUUGUGCCUCUGUACACACGCUCGAACCUUGACCACAGCACGGAUCUGUCCAUUCUCCCACUGCUCCUCACCUUCUGGUUGUCUUUAUCUUUCAGUCAAAGCGCUGGUGGCAGAGAGACAGAAAAGGUGGGUGUACAACCAUAGACGGACACACUCGAGUUGCACAUGUCCACACAACAUCUCCCAGAUUCCUAAGCUAACUGCAAGUGGAAGUGUUCCUUAGAGCCUUGUCUUGUGUUUAGGGAAGAGGCCCGUUUCUGGCAUAAUUUUCACGCCAUGGACCACGUUGUCGGUAAGCGCUUGCUUUGCUUUGUAGAUACGUGCUUAUUCUUCUUUAUUGAUGCUUUGGUCUAUAAAAGCUUUUUCGCCUUUUUUAAGUCAUUUAACAUUUUUUUUUUUUUUUUUUUUUUUUGAAUGAUCACCUGCCCCAAAGCUAAUGCAAAGCGGAAGAAAGCUCUAAAACGCGUCGUUUUGAAAACCUCUUGUUGACUGUCAUUCAGCUUUAGUGUGUGUGUUGUGCUCUUUUUCAGACCUAACCCUCAGAAGAGUCAGUGUUGGGUCUCAGGUGAGGAAAAGCUCACGCAUCUUCAAGUGUAACAUCGUCAAUAUCCACAACGAGCGAGCUGAUCUUGAAAGAUGCCUUGCGUGUGAGAAUGUCCUUUUGCAUCCGGUUGCUCAGUCUCCUUCCUUUCGCCAUCGGCCGUUAAAAUCACAGUCAUGUAGCAGCUGUUUUCAUUGCCGUCUAUGUGUGCGAACCAUCUCGCUUCCUCUUUCCUGCGCUCUUGAGUGAGAGUACACCUGUGGGGUUUUGGCACGAAGAUCGUAGCGCACCGGCACUUCAGGGGGCGGCACGCACCCCCCGCCGGGGCGGAUGCGGCGCAGCACUUGUUGCUGCCUGCGGAGAUUUUCGUCGCAUCUGUUUCAAGUUUGCUUUAAUUACCUGACUAAUCUGUUUGAUUAAGUGAACGCUCUCUAGACACCGACAUGUGACCCGCACUAAGAAUCCUGAUUCAACAUGGUGAAUUAUUAACAGAGCAGGGAGAAAUCUCCAUAUGGAGGCUGAAUGAGGGCAGAUUCGUAUAAACCAAGAGAAAUGCAGCACUACUGUUUACGUGCAGGAAAUUCAUUGACUGUGCCCCCACCCUCUGGGGUAAUUUUUAGGGUUAGAUCAAGUGUGUGAGAAAGGAAGAUCUUCAAAAGAGGGCGGCUUUGGUUGCUGACUCCUACGGCGUUGCCUUCAACUACUGUAUAUGACAAACAUUGUGCUGUCGGGGGAUGUUUUCAGUGUGUGUAUGAAGAGCUCGUUGAAAUGCGAGGGGAGCCAAGUUAUAGGGCGUGAUUUUUCACAAGGGACCCCUAUAUGUCCUGGCUUUUGCUAUAGCCAGACCUUUAUAUUUUUGUAUGAUGGGUAUCCAUGAUGUGGAUUUUGCAUCCACCAGUAGUUCUGCAAGAAUAAAUCUGUGACAUUUUUGCUUGUGUCA